CUGGCGUACGACUGAGUGGCGUUGCCGUUACCAGUCCGGCCCGUAUAAGUAGGAGCGACAGCGAGCCGGAGGUCACACAGCCGAGCACCAAGAUCUCUCUUCCUUCCUCCUCCUCCUCCUCCUCCAAUCCCCCUCUCCGGCCAGCGCGAGCGAGCGAGCUUGAGAGAGGUUGGUACCUGCAGGUAGCCAUGGACGGCCACCGCCACGGGCCGCGCAAGAUUCUGGCGCUUGAGGCGGCGUUCAAGAAAUGUGCCCACCCCGACCAGACCCAGGUCGCUAAUCUCAGCCGCGAAACCGGCAUGGAGCCCCAGCAGAUCGUAUACUGGUUCCAGACCCGGCGGGCGCAUAUCAAGGGAUCUUAAUCGAACACGAGGCCUCCGACCCAGGGAUCUUCAUUGUCAGAUCCUUGAUGCUUUCAUUCCACAACUUCGCCUUCAUGCUGUGACACAGGGAGGCUGAUGGUGGCUGAUGUCCGUCACUAUCGUGGUCUUCCUCAGCUUAGUGUUUAUGUGUGUGUUUCGGCUUGUUAGCCAAGGACCCCCUUCGGGUUUGUAUCGCGCGUGUGUGUGUCGGCUCUUGAGCCCACCUGGACCCUAAUGGGUUUGUAUCGUGUUUGUGUUUGUGCGUGCGCACGUGCGUCGGCUCUUGAGCCUUGGACCCUAGAUGGGUUUGUAUCAUGUUUGUGUUGUAUUUCUGUUGCAUUUGAAUUUUAAACUCUGCCACAUUACCCUGAA
Molecule: long non-coding RNA, 734 nt
Organism: Triticum dicoccoides
Lineage: Eukaryota; Viridiplantae; Streptophyta; Magnoliopsida; Poales; Poaceae
Exons: 3
Source: RefSeq, a predicted model, not a curated record